AAUAUAACUCAUUCUAAGUCGCUCUGGAUAAGAGCAUCUGCUAAAUGACUAAAG
Salmo salar (Atlantic salmon) is the source of this 54-nucleotide non-coding RNA. The record is from Rfam. NCBI's taxonomy places the organism in Eukaryota, Metazoa, Chordata, Actinopteri, Salmoniformes, Salmonidae.